Molecule: ribosomal RNA, 374 nt
Filed under: uncultured Aminicenantes bacterium
Lineage: Bacteria; Candidatus Aminicenantota
Description: bacterial SSU rRNA
Rfam family: Bacterial small subunit ribosomal RNA
Source: RNAcentral
UACGUAGGGGGCAAGCGUUGCUCGGAAUUACUGGGCGUAAAGGGUGAGUAGGCGGUCGAGCAAGUCAAGGAUGAAAUCCCGAGGCCCAACUUCGGAAUUGUUCUUGAAACUGCUCGGCUUGAGGGUAGUUGAGGAGAGUGGAAUUCCCGGUGGAGCGGUGAAAUGCGUAGAUAUCGGGAGGAACACCUGAGGCGAAGGCGGCUCUCUAAACUACUCCUGACGCUGAAUCACGAAAGCUAGGGGAGCAAACGGGAUUAGAUACCCCGGUAGUCCUAGCCGUAAACGAUGGACACUGGAUAUUCCGGCAUUUCUGCUGGAGUGUCGUAGCUAACGCGUUAAGUGUCCCGCCUGGGGAGUACGAUCGCAAGGUUGAA